CUACGGGGGGCUCCAGUGGGGAAUAUUGCACAAUGGAGGGAACUCUGAUGCAGCAACGCCGCGUGGAGGAUGACACAUUUCGGUGCGUAAACUCCUUUUAUAUAAGAAGAUAAUGACGGUAUUAUAUGAAUAAGCACCGGCUAACUCCGUGCCAGCAGCCGCGGUAAUACGGGGGGUGCAAGCGUUACUCGGAAUCACUGGGCGUAAAGAGCAUGUAGGCUGGUUUGUAAGUUGGAAGUGAAAUCCUAUGGCUUAACCAUAGAACUGCUUCCAAAACUACUUACCUAGAGUAUGGGAGAGGUAGAUGGAAUUUCUGGUGUAGGGGUAAAAUCCGUAGAGAUCAGAAGGAAUACCGAUUGCGAAGGCGAUCUACUGGAACAUUGCUGACGCUCAGAUGCGAAAGCGUAGGGAGCAAACAGGAUUAGAUACCCUCGUAGUC
This 439-nucleotide ribosomal RNA is filed under the name uncultured bacterium. RNAcentral describes it as "partial 16S ribosomal RNA". It matches the Rfam family "Bacterial small subunit ribosomal RNA", at positions 339 to 795 of the family's 1533-position model. The record is from RNAcentral.